This 500-nucleotide ribosomal RNA is filed under the name uncultured Glomeromycotina. Its description in RNAcentral is "partial small subunit ribosomal RNA". It matches the Rfam family "Eukaryotic small subunit ribosomal RNA", at positions 591 to 1092 of the family's 1831-position model. Lineage: Eukaryota; Fungi; Glomeromycota. The record is from RNAcentral.
CCAAUAGCGUAUAUUAAAGUUGUUGCAGUUAAAAAGCUCGUAGUUGAAUUUCGGGGUCAAUACGUCGGUCGUGCCUUCGGUACGUACUGGUGUUAUUGAUCUCUCCCUUCUGAUGAAUCAUGAUGUCAUUAAUCUGGUGUCGUGGGGAGUCAGGACUGUUACUUUGAAAAAAUUAGAGUGUUUAAAGCAGGCUUACGCUUGAAUACAUUAGCAUGGAAUAAUGAAAUAGGACGUUCGAUCCUAUUUUGUUGGUUUCUAGGAUCAACGUAAUGAUUAAUAGGGAUAGUUGGGGGCAUUAGUAUUCAAUUGUCAGAGGUGAAAUUCUUGGAUUUAUUGAAGACUAACUACUGCGAAAGCAUUUGCCAAGGAUGUUUUCAUUAAUCAAGAACGAAAGUUAGGGGAUCGAAGACGAUCAGAUACCGUCGUAGUCUUAACCAUAAACUAUGCCGACUAGGGAUCGGAUGAUGUUAAUUUUUUAAUGACUCAUUCGGCGCCUUACG